This 315-nucleotide ribosomal RNA is filed under the name uncultured eukaryote. RNAcentral's name for it is "partial 18S ribosomal RNA". It matches the Rfam family "Eukaryotic small subunit ribosomal RNA", at positions 1470 to 1796 of the family's 1831-position model. The record is from RNAcentral.
CCCUUAGACGUUCUGGGCCGCACGCGCGCUACACUGACCAGUGCAACAAGCAUCCGUCCUUGGCCGACAGGCUCGGACAAUCUUUGAACGCUGGUCGUGAUGGGGAUAGACUUUUGCAAUUUUUGGUCUUCAACGAGGAAUUCCUAGUAAACGCAAGUCAUCAACUUGCAUUGAUUACGUCCCUGCACUUUGUACACACCGCCCGUCGCACCUACCGAUUGAAUGGUCCGGUGAAGCCUCCGGAUUGGCGCGCACCUCGGUGCCGCCGAGAAGUUGGCUAAACCUUACCAUUUAGAGGAAGGUGAAGUCGUAACA